UGCAGUUGUGAUAAUUUUAGCAUUUCCCUGUUAGAACGAUUUAGAGACGGCGAUCUGCAGACUAAUAAUAUAUAAUCCUAGCAUCAAGGGGGGAAGAAGAAGAUUGAAGAGGAUAGAGACGGAUAGGGGCGGGCCCCACGGAGAAAGAUGGCGUUUUGCGCUUUCCAACGUUGAAUCGUUUGGAGUAAGAGGGUGAUCACUGAGUUGCUCUAUUCUAUAUUUCUAUUCCUUGCCUCUAGCUCUUCUUUCUCUUCUCUUUCUAUCAUUUCUUAGAGGUUCCCCGAAUCCAAAAGGGUGUUGCUUUGUUAGUAACUUUCUAAAGAGGUUCUUCCUCGGACGCUCCGAAUGGCUCCUGUCUCAGUGGCAUCUUCGGACUCCAUUAAACCUCGAGAUGUUUGUAUUGUUGGCGUUGCACGUACACCGAUAGGCGGCUUACUUGGUACUCUUUCAUCGUUGUCAGCUACCAAGCUUGGCUCUAUAGCUAUUGAAUGUGCUCUUAAGAGGGCAAAUGUUGAUCCUUCACUUGUGCAAGAGGUUUUCUUCGGGAAUGUCCUAAGUGCAAAUUUAGGCCAAGCUCCUGCUAGACAGGCUGCUUUGGGUGCAGGCAUUCCUACUUCUGUGAUCUGCACUACUAUUAACAAAGUUUGUUCGUCGGGGAUGAAAGCAACAAUGCUUGCAGCACAAUCUAUCCAGUUGGGUUUGAAUGAUGUUGUUGUGGCUGGUGGAAUGGAAAGCAUGUCUAAUGCGCCUAAGUAUCUAGCUGAAGCAAGAAAGGGAUCUCGAUUUGGACAUGAUACUAUUGUCGAUGGCAUGCUGAAAGAUGGACUGUGGGAUGUUUACAAUGACUUUGGAAUGGGAGCUUGCGGAGAAAUAUGUGCCAAUCAACAUACCAUAACAAGAGAAGAGCAGGAUAAUUAUGCUAUUAGGAGCUUUGAACGAGGAAUUUCUGCACAGAAUGGAGGUCACUUUGCAUGGGAAAUAGUUCCAGUUGAAAUUUCUGGGGGAAGAGGGAAGCCACCCAUAAUUGUUGACAAGGAUGAAGGUUUAGGAAAGUUUGAUGCUGCAAAGUUGAGAAAGCUGAGACCAAGUUUCAAGGAAGAUGGUGGUUCUAUUACUGCUGGCAAUGCUUCUAGCAUAAGUGAUGGUGCAGCAGCAUUAGUGCUGGUGAGUGGGGAGAAGGCACUUCAACUAGGGUUGCAAGUGAUUGCAAAGAUCAAAGGAUUUGCUGAUGCAGCUCAGGCACCUGAAUUAUUCCCAACUGCCCCGGCCCUUGCAAUACCAAAAGCUAUUUCAAAUGCUGGUUUGGAGGCUUCUCAAAUUGAUUACUUUGAAAUAAAUGAAGCUUUUUCUGUUGUGGCACUUGCCAAUCAAAAGCUGCUUAGUCUUAAUCCUGAUAAAGUUAAUGCGCAUGGUGGAGCUGUAUCAUUGGGACACCCGUUGGGAUGCAGUGGAGCUCGUAUAUUGGUCACUUUGUUAGGGGUGUUGAGACACAACAAUGGGAAGUAUGGAGUUGGUGGCAUCUGCAAUGGGGGAGGAGGGGCAUCUGCCCUUGUUCUUGAGCUCAUGUAAGCCAUUUACAUUUGGUAAGGCAUAUGCUCAAUCUAAUACUUCAGAAUCUGUGGCCCUGUGCCAGUUACACGGGUGGCACAUUCUAGGUUAUGAUAUUCAUUUGUUCUCUCAAAUUAUCACAUAUUAAUGAUAUUUUUCCUUUUUCCUAUCUCAACUUUUCUUCUUGAAUAACAAAGUAAAUAGAUGCUGUAUCAACUCUUUUUAAGAAAUAAAAGGUUAUGUUGUUUCCUA
Molecule: RNA transcript, 1800 nt
Organism: Alnus glutinosa
Lineage: Eukaryota; Viridiplantae; Streptophyta; Magnoliopsida; Fagales; Betulaceae
Gene name: acetyl-CoA acetyltransferase 2
Exons: 14
Source: RefSeq, a predicted model, not a curated record